Molecule: ribosomal RNA, 557 nt
Filed under: uncultured bacterium
Lineage: Bacteria
Description: partial 16S ribosomal RNA
Rfam family: Bacterial small subunit ribosomal RNA
Source: RNAcentral
UGGGGAAUUUUGGACAAUGGGCGAAAGCCUGAUCCAGCAAUGCCGCGUGUGUGAAGAAGGCCUUCGGGUUGUAAAGCACUUUUGUCCGGAAAGAAAUCCUUGGCUCUAAUACAGUCGGGGGAUGACGGUACCGGAAGAAUAAGCACCGGCUAACUACGUGCCAGCAGCCGCGGUAAUACGUAGGGUGCAAGCGUUAAUCGGAAUUACUGGGCGUAAAGCGUGCGCAGGCGGUUUGCUAAGACCGAUGUGAAAUCCCCGGGCUCAACCUGGGAACUGCAUUGGUGACUGGCAGGCUAGAGUAUGGCAGAGGGGGGUAGAAUUCCACGUGUAGCAGUGAAAUGCGUAGAGAUGUGGAGGAAUACCGAUGGCGAAGGCAGCCCCCUGGGCCAAUACUGACGCUCAUGCACGAAAGCGUGGGGAGCAAACAGGAUUAGAUACCCUGGUAGUCCACGCCCUAAACGAUGUCAACUAGUUGUUGGGGAUUCAUUUCCUUAGUAACGUAGCUAACGCGUGAAGUUGACCGCCUGGGGAGUACGGUCGCAAGAUUAAACUUAAUG